RNAcentral lists this ribosomal RNA (254 nucleotides) under uncultured bacterium. RNAcentral describes it as "partial 16S ribosomal RNA". It matches the Rfam family "Bacterial small subunit ribosomal RNA", at positions 524 to 776 of the family's 1533-position model. The record is from RNAcentral.
UACGGAGGGUGCAAGCGUUAUCCGGAUUUACUGGGUUUAAAGGGUGCGUAGGUGGGUCUGUAAGUCAGUGGUGAAAUCUCCGAGCUUAACUCGGAAACUGCCAUUGAUACUAUAGAUCUUGAAUUAUCUGGAGGUGAGCGGAAUAUGUCAUGUAGCGGUGAAAUGCAUAGAUAUGUCACAGAACACCGAUUGCGAAGGCAGCUUACUAUGGUUUUUAUUGACGCUGAGGCACGAAAGCGUGGGGAUCAAACAGG